Long non-coding RNA from Xiphias gladius (swordfish), 834 nucleotides. RefSeq lists it as uncharacterized. The record is from RefSeq and is a predicted model, not a curated record. Lineage: Eukaryota; Metazoa; Chordata; Actinopteri; Istiophoriformes; Xiphiidae. The transcript has 4 exons.
AAGCUCCGUUGAGGACCAGAGCGUAAGCUCCGAUGCGGCGGGGACACAAACUCACAGGAGGGACUCAUCCUCGUCGCCGUGGUACCUCACCUGCAAACACUCCCCUCAUUAGUGCAGACCAGGGCAGGGCCCAGAGCAGAGGCAGAGGCAGUCAGCCCGGGCGCUGUUGUCGGGAGGAUGGGUGGCCACGGAGAGAGGGGUGCGGGCCCAGCCUGUUGCCACGGUGUUGAAGCUCCACUGCUGAUGGAUGUCGACCUGCAUCCAGAGGUGAUGGAUGCUGUUGUCACGGCAAGCACCGGCCCCGCGGUGGAGAGGGGGGGGGGUUGGGGUUAUGGUGGACACAGCCUGGUACUCCGUCCAGGUACACUGACAAGAAACCACCCCCACCCCUCCAGAGGGCAUGUCCCCGACCGGAGUGAAAGCUUUGCUCAGGAACGGUUUUCGAUACGUCCUCUACUGGCAGUGCGGCUCCGCAACAGACCCCGUACUGGGAGAACGGCUCGUGGAGUGAAACUGGGAACAGAGCGGUGCUCAAGGCGCUCACUGCUGCUCGUCCGGCAGCUGAAGACUGAGACUCAGCUGAGCGGACCAACAUGUGGAUCAGCUCCUCCUCUCAUCUGGGCUUUUUCAGAUGUCGGAAGACACCGAAGACAGAUUGUAGAUCAAACUGAAAGAGGGGGAAAAUAAUUGAAUAAGGCAGGAUCUUGAAAAAUGAGCCCCCCUCCCCCCCCCGGAGAAAUUAUGCAGUGGUGGAACAUAAAGGAGAGGAAGCACAAUUUUGAGGUGUUUGCACUUUUUUUAAUGUAAAGAUUAAACUAGGCUUCAAAUAAUGAA